CCCUGUUUACCUGAGUUGGUAGAGCGCUCCACCUGUAAUUGAAAGGUCCCGGGUUCGAUACCCGGACCAGGCG
RNAcentral lists this transfer RNA (73 nucleotides) under Ixodes scapularis (black-legged tick). Its description in RNAcentral is "tRNA-Thr for anticodon UGU". The record is from RNAcentral. Lineage: Eukaryota; Metazoa; Arthropoda; Arachnida; Ixodida; Ixodidae.